Molecule: ribosomal RNA, 253 nt
Filed under: uncultured bacterium
Lineage: Bacteria
Description: partial 16S ribosomal RNA
Rfam family: Bacterial small subunit ribosomal RNA
Source: RNAcentral
UACGUAGGGUGCGAGCGUUGUCCGGGAUUAUUGGGCGUAAAGGGCUCGUAGGCGGUUUGUCGCGUCGGGAGUGAAAAUCCAGGGCUUAACUCUGGACUGGCUUCCGAUACGGGCAGACUAGAGGUAUGCAGGGGAGAACGGAAUUCCUGGUGUAGCGGUGAAAUGCGCAGAUAUCAGGAGGAACACCGGUGGCGAAGGCGGUUCUCUGGGCAUUACCUGACGCUGAGGAGCGAAAGUGUGGGGAGCGAACAGG